RNAcentral lists this small nuclear RNA (298 nucleotides) under Octodon degus (degu). RNAcentral describes it as "7SK RNA (ENSODEG00000022987.1)". It matches the Rfam family "7SK RNA". Rfam says of the family: 7SK was discovered as an abundant small nuclear RNA in the mid-70s but a possible function has only recently been suggested. Two independent studies have found that 7SK RNA binds the CDK9/cyclin T complex (known as elongation factor P-TEFb). The record is from Rfam by way of RNAcentral. Lineage: Eukaryota; Metazoa; Chordata; Mammalia; Rodentia; Octodontidae.
GGACUGUGAGGGCAAUCUGGCUAAGACAUCUGUCACCCCACUGAUCACCAGGGUUAAGCUAGCUGGUCUGGCUGGCUAGGUGGGUGUCCCCUUCCUCCCUCACUGCUCUGUGUGCAUCUCUCCUGAAGCUGAAGCUGCAUGCUCAGUGGAACAAGACAACCAGCCCCAACAGAGGAUAACUGGUUCCUCAGCUAGGGGUAGCUGUGCUGCCCUGCUACAAUCUCUAAACAAACUUACAAAACCAAAAUAUAGAAGGAACUGGGGAGGACCUCCAUGUGAAGGCCCUUGGGUUCAAUAU